GACGAACCGUGCGAACGUUAUUCGGAAUCACUGGGCUUAAAGCGCGUGUAGGCGGAUGGGAACGUCGGUAGUUGAAAGCCCCCGGCUCAACCGGGGAAGUGGUGCCGAAACGACCCGUCUGGAGGGACGUAGGGGGACCUGGAACUUCCGGUGGAGCGGUGAAAUGCGUUGAGAUCGGAAGGAACGCCCGUGGCGAAAGCGAGAUCCUGGACGUCUACUGACGCUGAGACGCGAAAGCUAGGGGAGCAAACGGG
RNAcentral lists this ribosomal RNA (254 nucleotides) under uncultured bacterium. RNAcentral describes it as "partial 16S ribosomal RNA". It matches the Rfam family "Bacterial small subunit ribosomal RNA", at positions 524 to 776 of the family's 1533-position model. The record is from RNAcentral.